ACUUUAUUAUUUAGACCCUGGGUCUCCAAACACUCAGGUCUCCAAACCCAAGUCAGAGAGCAGGAUGCUGCUUUGGUUCAAGAUGUAGGAGCAGCAACAAUACAGGGCUGGUGACAGCUCCCUCCUGGCAUUCAGUAUAGUGUAGAUCUACCGUGUAAUUGAUUUUCUGCUUCUUUGAGGAGCUGUGAAACCAAGGGACAUAAACAAUUGCUCUUUUCUCCCUGUUUCUGCCUGUAGCUUGAAUGUGAGGCAACUGUGAAAAGUGCAGGGCAGAGCCACCUGGGUAAAUACAGCCCUGGCUUUCUGGUGAGAGGACUGAAACCAGGAUGUGUCAAGUAACUAGAAUGUGCCUGGACAGAUACUGUAGAAAGCAAACCCAUAAAGUUGUUCAUGAGCUUGUGGAUGCACCUGCCAGCUGUGAAUAAGUGGCUCUAAUCCCAAACAACUUACCUAAAAAGAGCCUGAGGACUGAACUGAACAAUGGUCCACUUUCCAGUCCUCACUGACCACUGGUUGCACACACUCCAGAGAUCUCUCAACCGCAGUGUCAAGGCUUUCAAAUAGAGUUAUCUGUGAAACGACAACACAUGGAAGUCUGGUUGGUACUUGGAGCUUAAAUACAAGGCAACUGUGUGCCUGCAAAAACAAAAAUAUCAAUAUUAUCCUUAAGAUUUCAACAAGACACAGUGUCUCAUCACAUAAUCCAAAGAAGUCCAGGUUACAAGCCCCAAAAUAUUCAGCAUUAUGAAAAACCAGGGAGAUCUUAACUCACAUGGCAAAGAGAAUCCUUGAAUAACAAUAUUGAGAGGACACAUAUGUCAAAAUCAUCUGACACAUACAUUAAAGCAGUUAUUAUAACAAUGCUCCUAGAAUUACGGGAUAGCAUUCAUGAAGUGAAUGGAAAGUUGGAAAGUCUCACCAAAUAUUUGGAAUAUGUAAACACCAAUUUAAACUUAAGAAUUAAAAAAAGUAUUAACCAAAACUAUUAGGGGAAAUAAAAUGCUUAAUUGGAUGAUCUCAAUAGCAGUAUGCAAAAGACUAAGGAAAGAGUCAAUGAACUUGAAAACAGAACAAGAAUACCUACAUAAUCUGACCUAUAGAAAGAAAGGAGGAUUUUAUUGUCCCUGAACAGAGGCUCAGGGACAAAUAAAAAAUAACAAAUCUAACAUUCACAUUAUUGUAAUCUGGAAACAUUCACAUUAUUGUAAGAGGACAAAGAGGUCUUUGUGGGAUAAAACUGUGAAGAAUUAAUGGCUGAAAAUAUAUCAAAUUUGUCAAAAGAUAUAAACCAGAUUUUUAAAGUUCAGUAAAUGUCAAGCAGGAUAAACCAAGAGAAACCCAUUGCAAGACAUAUCAUAAUCAAACUGCGGAAAAUUAAGAAAAUACAAAACAAUUUUGAAAGCAGCCAAAGGGAAAUAAAAGAUAAAAUACCAAAUGAAUGAUUGUAGAUUUCUCAUCAGGAACCCAGGAGCCAGAAAAAAAUGUCAUAACAUUCAGUAAGUACCAAAGGAAAAAUACAUUAUCAACCCAGAAUGGUAUGUGGAGCAAAAGUAUCUUCCAGACAUAAAGGCAAAUAAAUACAUUCUCAUUGGAAGGUAAAUAAAUACAUUCUCAGUCCUAGCAAAACUGCUGGAAAAGAAUUAGCAAAGGUUUGAGAUAAGAAAAGUGAUACCAGAAGGAAACUUAGAACAUCAUCAGUGAAGGAACAAAAGCAGAAAUAGAAAAUGUCUGGGUAGACAUAACAGACUAUUAUUCUUCUCUUGAGUUCCUUAAGAGAAUGAGUAGCCACUGCUGUUUGCCCUGGCCCAUCAAUGAGAAGAUCUGCUCUUAGAGCCCUGCUUUCCUGCUGAAGGCCCCGAAAUCACCUGUGUUCCAGGCCACCCGCUAACAAUAAAUAAUGCUCCCCUGAUGUGGGGAAUUAGCUCAAGUGGUAGAGCGCUUGCUUAGCAUGCAAGAGGUAGUGGGAUCGAUGCCCACAUUCUCCAAGCUUUAUUAUUUAGACAUCGUGUCUCCAAACACUCAGGUCUCCAAACCCAAGUUAGUGUCUGAGAACAGGAUGCUGCUUUGGUUCAAGACGUAGGAGCAGCAAUAAUAGAGGGCUGGUGAUGGCUCCCUCUUGGCAUUCAGUAUAGUGUAGAUCUACCAUGUAAUUAAUUCUCUGUUUCUUUGAGGAGCUGUGAAACCAAGGGACAUAUACAACUGCUCUUUUCUCCCUGUUUCUACCUGCAGCUUUGUCCUAAAUGUGAGACAAUUAUGAAAAGUGCAGGGCAGAGCCACUUGGGUAAAUACAGCCCCGGCUUUCUGCUCAGGGGACAGAGUUUGAGGCACUGCAGAGGAACCAGCCAAAGUAUGAGACCCAUAUGUUGAGAGUGACAGUGUAAAGUUCAAAAAAAUCAAAAUGUUUAAAGAUUUAUCAUGGGUCUUGAUGACAUGAUGGAAUCUCUCUACUCUCUGGACUGAUUAUGUGUGGUAAUAAAUUUACUUUUUAAAAGCC
This 2494-nucleotide transfer RNA is filed under the name Homo sapiens (human). RNAcentral describes it as "HSALNT0334805". The stretch from base 1913 to 1985 matches the Rfam family "tRNA". The record is from RNAcentral. Lineage: Eukaryota; Metazoa; Chordata; Mammalia; Primates; Hominidae.